This 378-nucleotide unclassified non-coding RNA is filed under the name plant metagenome. Its description in RNAcentral is "partial contains 5.8S ribosomal RNA, internal transcribed spacer 2, and large subunit ribosomal RNA". The stretch from base 1 to 105 matches the Rfam family "5.8S ribosomal RNA", at positions 50 to 154 of the family's 154-position model. The record is from RNAcentral.
GAAAUGCGAUAAGUAAUGUGAAUUGCAGAAUUCAGUGAAUCAUCGAAUCUUUGAACGCACCUUGCGCUCCUUGGUAUUCCUUGGAGCAUGCCUGUUUGAGUAUCAUGAAAUCUUCAAAGUAAAUCUUUUGUUAACUCAAUUGGUUUCUACUUUGGUAUUGGAGGUCUUUGCAGCUUCACACCUGCUCCUCUUUGUUCAUUAGCUGGAUCUCAGUGUUAUGCUUGGUUCCACUCGGCGUGAUAAGUUAUCUAUCGCUGAGGACCCUGUAAAAGGUUGCCAAGGUAAAUGCAGAUGAACCGCUUCUAAUAGUCCAUUGACUUGGACAAUACUUUUAUGAUCUGAUCUCAAAUCAGGUAGGACUACCCGCUGAACUUAAGC